GACGAACGCUGGCGGCGUGCUUAACACAUGCAAGUCGAACGGAAAGGCCCUGCUUUUGUGGGGUGCUCGAGUGGCGAACGGGUGAGUAACACGUGAGUAACCUGCCCUUGACUUUGGGAUAACUUCAGGAAACUGGGGCUAAUACCGGAUAGGAGCUCCUGCUGCAUGGUGGGGGUUGGAAAGUUUCGGCGGUUGGGGAUGGACUCGCGGCUUAUCAGCUUGUUGGUGGGGUAGUGGCUUACCAAGGCUUUGACGGGUAGCCGGCCUGAGAGGGUGACCGGCCACAUUGGGACUGAGAUACGGCCCAGACUCCUACGGGAGGCAGCAGUGGGGAAUAUUGCACAAUGGGCGGAAGCCUGAUGCAGCAACGCCGCGUGCGGGAUGACGGCCUUCGGGGGGUAAACCGCUUUCGCCUGUGACGAAGCGGGAGUGACGGUAAUGGGUAAAGAAGCACCGGCUAACUACGUG
Molecule: ribosomal RNA, 468 nt
Filed under: uncultured bacterium
Lineage: Bacteria
Description: partial 16S ribosomal RNA
Rfam family: Bacterial small subunit ribosomal RNA
Source: RNAcentral